AGGGAUCAUUAAAAAAAAGAGUUGCAAGACUCGAAAACCAUCGUGAACAUACCUCUCGUCGUUGCUUCGGCGGGCUGCUCGUCAGGGCGCCCGCCGGAGGACCACCAAACUCCGUUUUCUUAGCGUACCUCUGAGUGGACCACAAAAAAAAUGAAUCAAGACUUUCAACAACGGAUCUCUUGGUUCUGGCAUCGAUGAAGAACACAGCGAAAUGCGAUAAGUAAUGUGAAUUGCAGAAUUCAGUGAAUCAUCGAAUCUUUGAACGCACAUUGCGCCCGCCAGUAUUCUGGCGGGCAUGCCUGUCCGAGCGUCAUUUCAACCCCUCAAGCCCUGUGCUUGGUGUUGGGGCCCCUACGUGCGCCGUAGGCCCCGAAUUCCAGUGGCGGGCUCGCCGCGAACCCGAGCGUAGUAGCUUUUGCCUCGCUCAGGGCCCGCGGCGGGCGCCUGCCGUGAAAGAACCCACUGUCCUAAAGGUUGACCUCGGAUCAGGUAGGAAUACCCGCUGAACUUAA
RNAcentral lists this ribosomal RNA (512 nucleotides) under fungal sp. R56. RNAcentral describes it as "eukaryotic LSU rRNA". The stretch from base 160 to 313 matches the Rfam family "5.8S ribosomal RNA". The record is from RNAcentral. Lineage: Eukaryota; Fungi.